This 1394-nucleotide ribosomal RNA is filed under the name uncultured bacterium. Its description in RNAcentral is "bacterial SSU rRNA". It matches the Rfam family "Bacterial small subunit ribosomal RNA". The record is from RNAcentral.
AGAGUUUGAUCCUGGCUCAGGACGAACUCUGGCGGCGUGCCUAAUACAUGCAAGUAGAACGCUGAAGACUUUAGCUUGCUAAAGUUGGAAGAGUUGCGAACGGGUGAGUAACGCGUAGGUAACCUGCCUACUAGCGGGGGAUAACUAUUGGAAACGAUAGCUAAUACCGCAUAACAGCAUUUAACACAUGUUAGAUGCUUGAAAGAAGCAAUUGCUUCACUAGUAGAUGGACCUGCGUUGUAUUAGCUAGUUGGUGAGGUAAAGGCUCACCAAGGCGACGAUACAUAGCCGACCUGAGAGGGUGAUCGGCCACACUGGGACUGAGACACGGCCCAGACUCCUACGGGAGGCAGCAGUAAGGAGUUUUCGGCAAUGGGGGAAACCCUGACCGAGCAACGCCGCGUGAGCGAUGACGGCCCUAUGGGUUGUAAAGCUCUGUUGUAAGGGACGAAUGAUUUCGCUAGGAAAUGAGCGAGAUUUGACAGUACCUUACCAGAAAGCCACGGCUAACUACGUGCCAGCAGCCGCGGUAAUACGUAGGUGGCAAGCGUUAUCCGGAAUUAUUGGGCGUAAAGAGUGAGCAGGCGGCAUGACAAGUCUGAAGUGAAAGCGUGAGGCUCAACCUCAUACAGCUUUAGAAACUAUCAAGCUAGAGUACGAGAGAGGUAAGUGGAAUUCCUAGUGUAGCGGUGAAAUGCGUAGAUAUUAGGAGGAACACCAGUGGCGAAGGCGGCUUACUAGCCCGAAACUGACGCUCAGUCACGAAAGCGUGGGUAGCAAAUAGGAUUAGAUACCCUAGUAGUCCACGCUGUAAACGAUGAGAACUAAAUAUUGCCGCGAGGCAGUGUUGAAGCUAACGCAUUAAGUUCUCCGCCUGGGGAGUACGGUCGCAAGACUGAAACUUAAAGGAAUUGACGGGACCCCGCACAAGCAGUGGAGCAUGUGGUUUAAUUCGACACUACACGAAGAACCUUACCAGGGCUUGACAUGGAGGCUAACAGUCUAGAGAUAGAUGAAUAUACGCUUCACACAGGUGGUGCAUGGUUGUCGUCAGCUCGUGUCGUGAGAUGUUGGGUUAAGUCCCGCAACGAGCGCAACCCCUUUCCUUAGUUGCCAUCAUUCAGUUGGGAACUCUAAGGAUACUGCCGAUGUAAAUCGGAGGAAGGUGGGGAUGACGUCAAAUCAUCAUGCCCUUUAUGUCCUGGGCGACACACGUGCUACAAUGGUCGGUACAAAGAGAUGCGAAACCGCGAGGGGGAGCUAAUCCCAUAAAGCCGAUCUCAGUUCGGACUGGAGUCUGCAACUCGACUCCACGAAGCUGGAAUUGCUAGUAAUCGUAGAUCAGCCAUGCUACGGUGAAUACGUUCCCGGGGUUUGCACUCACCGCCCGUCAA